AAGGCUGAGUGGAUCAGCUGUUGGUCCAACCUCACACAUAAAACAACAGUACAAUGUUAUAUGCACCCAUUCUAAGUUCACAAAAACUUUACUCUGCUGAUAAGUUGUUAUUGUUCAUCCUUAGGGAUAGUUGGAUUCUCCUGAAAGUUAUGCUACUUCUGCUGGCUUGUAAUUGAAAGAAGCCAACAGCACACUGAUGACUGUAUUAGAUACAUCUGAGCUAGUGGAAACUUCACAUUCUUGCUAGCUAGUGG
This 254-nucleotide long non-coding RNA is filed under the name Elaeis guineensis (African oil palm). RNAcentral describes it as "long non-coding RNA (EGUI_LNC016772)". Lineage: Eukaryota; Viridiplantae; Streptophyta; Magnoliopsida; Arecales; Arecaceae. The record is from RNAcentral.